Molecule: ribosomal RNA, 254 nt
Filed under: uncultured bacterium
Lineage: Bacteria
Description: partial 16S ribosomal RNA
Rfam family: Bacterial small subunit ribosomal RNA
Source: RNAcentral
UACGUAGGGGGCAAGCGUUAUCCGGAUUUACUGGGUGUAAAGGGAGCGCAGACGGAAAUGCAAGCCAGAAGUGAAAACCCGGGGCUCAACCCCGCGGACUGCUUUUGGAACUGCGUAUCUAGAGUGCAGGAGAGGCAGGCGGAAUUCCUAGUGUAGCGGUGAAAUGCGUAGAUAUUAGGAGGAACACCAGUGGCGAAGGCGGCCUGCUGGACUGUAACUGACGUUGAGGCUCGAAAGCGUGGGGAGCAAACAGG